CAAGAGCGUAUGUAAAAGUUGUUGCAGUUAAAAAGCUCGUAGUUGAACCUUGGGUUUGGUUGGCCGGUCCGCUUUUUUGCGAGUACUGGAUUCAACCGAGCCUUUCCUUCUGGCUAACCAGUCGUUUCGGCGGCUGGCGAACCAGGAUUUUUACUUUGAGAAAAUUAGAGUGUUCAAAGCAGGCAUUAGCUUGAAUAUAUUAGCAUGGAAUAAUAGAAUAGGACGUUAUGGUUCUAUUUUGUUGGUUUCUAGGACCAUCGUAAUGAUUAAUAGGGACGGUCGGGGGCAUCAGUAUUCAGUUGUCAGAGGUGAAAUUCUUGGAUUUACUGAAGACUAACUACUGCGAAAGCAUUGGCCAAGGACGUUUUCAUUAA
Molecule: ribosomal RNA, 374 nt
Filed under: uncultured eukaryote
Lineage: Eukaryota
Description: partial 18S ribosomal RNA
Rfam family: Eukaryotic small subunit ribosomal RNA
Source: RNAcentral